RNAcentral lists this transfer RNA (77 nucleotides) under Streptomyces ipomoeae. RNAcentral's name for it is "tRNA-Thr". It matches the Rfam family "tRNA". Rfam says of the family: Transfer RNA (tRNA) molecules are approximately 80 nucleotides in length. Their secondary structure includes four short double-helical elements and three loops (D, anti-codon, and T loops). Lineage: Bacteria; Bacillati; Actinomycetota; Actinomycetes; Kitasatosporales; Streptomycetaceae. The record is from RNAcentral.
GCCUCCUUAGCUCAGAUGGCCAGAGCGGGGCCCUUGUAAGGCCUAGGUCGUCGGUUCGAAUCCGACAGGGGGCUCAA